AGUACUUACUGUCCUCCAAAGUCGACGUAGAACCAUCUCUGCAGCAGCUCAUAAGUCACCAACGUGACGGCAAACUGUGGGGAGGAUCUGAAGACACGAGCUGACAGGAGAAGGAUCUUCCUGAAGCAGUCGAUUACUCCGUUGUAGGUCGUCUGUCCUGCUCGAGCUGCCACCUGGAGUCUGGUCUUGAUGACAUCAGCAGGGGUGACCAGCGAGGCUGCAGUAUCUACACACACUCCACUGCUGUAGAGUUCAAUGAUGACGGACGAUGGUGGACCCAGAUUUCAAAGUGGAAAAUAUCACA
Molecule: long non-coding RNA, 304 nt
Organism: Cynoglossus semilaevis (tongue sole)
Lineage: Eukaryota; Metazoa; Chordata; Actinopteri; Pleuronectiformes; Cynoglossidae
Exons: 3
Source: RefSeq, a predicted model, not a curated record